AAAAGAAAUCAACCGAGAUUCCCCCAGUAGCGGCGAGCGAACGGGGAGCAGCCCAGAGCCUGAAUCAGUGUGUGUGUUAGUGGAAGCGUCUGGAAAGGCGUGCGAUACAGGGUGACAGCCCCGUACACAAAAAUGCACAUACUGUGAGCUCGAUGAGUAGGGCGGGACACGUGGUAUCCUGUCUGAAUAUGGGGGGACCAUCCUCCAAGGCUAAAUACUCCUGACUGACCGAUAGUGAACCAGUACCGUGAGGGAAAGGCGAAAAGAACCCCGGCGAGGGGAGUGAAAAAGAACCUGAAACCGUGUACGUACAAGCAGUGGGAGCACGCUUAGGCGUGUGACUGCGUACCUUUUGUAUAAUGGGUCAGCGACUUAUAUUCUGUAGCAAGGUUAACCGAAUAGGGGAGCCGAAGGGAAACCGAGUCUUAACUGGGCGUUAAGUUGCAGGGUAUAGACCCGAAACCCGGUGAUCUAGCCAUGGGCAGGUUGAAGGUUGGGUAACACUAACUGGAGGACCGAACCGACUAAUGUUGAAAAAUUAGCGGAUGACUUGUGGCUGGGGGUGAAAGGCCAAUCAAACCGGGAGAUAGCUGGUUCUCCCCGAAAGCUAUUUAGGUAGCGCCUCGUGAAUUCAUCUCCGGGGGUAGAGCACUGUUUCGGCAAGGGGGUCAUCCCGACUUACCAACCCGAUGCAAACUGCGAAUACCGGAGAAUGUUAUCACGGGAGACACACGGCGGGUGCUAACGUCCGUCGUGAAGAGGGAAACAACCCAGACCGCCAGCUAAGGUCCCAAAGUCAUGGUUAAGUGGGAAACGAUGUGGGAAGGCCCAGACAGCCAGGAUGUUGGCUUAGAAGCAGCCAUCAUUUAAAGAAAGCGUAAUAGCUCACUGGUCGAGUCGGCCUGCGCGGAAGAUGUAACGGGGCUAAACCAUGCACCGAAGCUGCGGCAGCGACGCUUAUGCGUUGUUGGGUAGGGGAGCGUUCUGUAAGCCUGUGAAGGUGUGCUGUGAGGUAUGCUGGAGGUAUCAGAAGUGCGAAUGCUGACAUAAGUAACGAUAAAGCGGGUGAAAAGCCCGCUCGCCGGAAGACCAAGGGUUCCUGUCCAACGUUAAUCGGGGCAGGGUGAGUCGACCCCUAAGGCGAGGCCGAAAGGCGUAGUCGAUGGGAAACAGGUUAAUAUUCCUGUACUUGGUGUUACUGCGAAGGGGGGACGGAGAAGGCUAUGUUGGCCGGGCGACGGUUGUCCCGGUUUAAGCGUGUAGGCUGGUUUUCCAGGCAAAUCCGGAAAAUCAAGGCCGAGGCGUGAUGACGAGGCACUACGGUGCUGAAGCAACAAAUGCCCUGCUUCCAGGAAAAGCCUCUAAGCAUCAGGUAACAUCAAAUCGUACCCCAAACCGACACAGGUGGUCAGGUAGAGAAUACCAAGGCGCUUGAGAGAACUCGGGUGAAGGAACUAGGCAAAAUGGUGCCGUAACUUCGGGAGAAGGCACGCUGAUACGUAGGUGAAGCGACUUGCUCGUGGAGCUGAAAUCAGUCGAAGAUACCAGCUGGCUGCAACUGUUUAUUAAAAACACAGCACUGUGCAAACACGAAAGUGGACGUAUACGGUGUGACGCCUGCCCGGUGCCGGAAGGUUAAUUGAUGGGGUUAGCGCAAGCGAAGCUCUUGAUCGAAGCCCCGGUAAACGGCGGCCGUAACUAUAACGGUCCUAAGGUAGCGAAAUUCCUUGUCGGGUAAGUUCCGACCUGCACGAAUGGCGUAAUGAUGGCCAGGCUGUCUCCACCCGAGACUCAGUGAAAUUGAACUCGCUGUGAAGAUGCAGUGUACCCGCGGCAAGACGGAAAGACCCCGUGAACCUUUACUAUAGCUUGACACUGAACAUUGAGCCUUGAUGUGUAGGAUAGGUGGGAGGCUUUGAAGUGUGGACGCCAGUCUGCAUGGAGCCGACCUUGAAAUACCACCCUUUAAUGUUUGAUGUUCUAACGUGGACCCGUGAUCCGGGUUGCGGACAGUGUCUGGUGGGUAGUUUGACUGGGGCGGUCUCCUCCUAAAGAGUAACGGAGGAGCACGAAGGUUGGCUAAUCCUGGUCGGACAUCAGGAGGUUAGUGCAAUGGCAUAAGCCAGCUUGACUGCGAGCGUGACGGCGCGAGCAGGUGCGAAAGCAGGUCAUAGUGAUCCGGUGGUUCUGAAUGGAAGGGCCAUCGCUCAACGGAUAAAAGGUACUCCGGGGAUAACAGGCUGAUACCGCCCAAGAGUUCAUAUCGACGGCGGUGUUUGGCACCUCGAUGUCGGCUCAUCACAUCCUGGGGCUGAAGUAGGUCCCAAGGGUAUGGCUGUUCGCCAUUUAAAGUGGUACGCGAGCUGGGUUUAGAACGUCGUGAGACAGUUCGGUCCCUAUCUGCCGUGGGCGCUGGAGAACUGAGGGGGGCUGCUCCUAGUACGAGAGGACCGGAGUGGACGCAUCACUGGUGUUCGGGUUGUCAUGCCAAUGGCACUGCCCGGUAGCUAAAUGCGGAAGAGAUAAGUGCUGAAAGCAUCUAAGCACGAAACUUGCCCCGAGAUGAGUUCUCCCUGACCCUUUAAGGGUCCUGAAGGAACGUUGAAGACGACGACGUUGAUAGGCCGGGUGUGUAAGCGCAGCGAUGCGUUGAGCUAACCGGUACUAAUGAACCGUGAGGCUUAACCUUACAACGCCGAAG
Molecule: ribosomal RNA, 2701 nt
Filed under: Shigella flexneri
Lineage: Bacteria; Pseudomonadati; Pseudomonadota; Gammaproteobacteria; Enterobacterales; Enterobacteriaceae
Description: partial 23S ribosomal RNA
Rfam family: Bacterial large subunit ribosomal RNA
Source: RNAcentral